GAAAUGCGAUAAGUAAUGUGAAUUGCAGAAUUCCGUGAAUCAUCGAAUCUUUGAACGCACAUUGCGCCCUCUGGUAUUCCGGGGGGCAUGCCUGUCCGAGCGUCAUUGCGAACCCCUCAAGCACAGCUUGUGUGAUGGGCCCUCCCGCGUCUUGGUCGUCAAGACGGGCCCGAAAUGCAGUGGCGGCUUCGCGGUUAUCCGAUCAGCCAGAGCGUAUGGGGACUUUCUCUCUGUCACACGCCCGCGGCGCGGACCGACGCCUGUCGACCUUCAUUCAUCGUUUUCUCGGUUGACCUCGGAUCAGGUAGGGAUACCCGCUGAACUUAAGC
RNAcentral lists this unclassified non-coding RNA (329 nucleotides) under plant metagenome. RNAcentral's name for it is "partial contains 5.8S ribosomal RNA, internal transcribed spacer 2, and large subunit ribosomal RNA". The stretch from base 1 to 105 matches the Rfam family "5.8S ribosomal RNA", at positions 50 to 154 of the family's 154-position model. The record is from RNAcentral.